Molecule: ribosomal RNA, 492 nt
Filed under: uncultured bacterium
Lineage: Bacteria
Description: partial 16S ribosomal RNA
Rfam family: Bacterial small subunit ribosomal RNA
Source: RNAcentral
AGUGAACGCUGGCGGUAAGCCUAACACAUGCAAGUCGAACGGCAGCACAGUAAGAGCUUGCUCUUACGGGUGGCGAGUGGCGGACGGGUGAGGAAUACAUCGGAAUCUACUUUUUCGUGGGGGAUAACGUAGGGAAACUUACGCUAAUACCGCAUACGACCUACGGGUGAAAGCAGGGGAUCUUCGGACCUUGCGCGAUUGAAUGAGCCGAUGUCGGAUUAGCUAGUUGGCGGGGUAAAGGCCCACCAAGGCGACGAUCCGUAGCUGGUCUGAGAGGAGGAUCAGCCACACUGGAACUGAGACACGGUCCAGACUCCUACGGGAGGCAGCAGUGGGGAAUAUUGGACAAUGGGCGCAAGCCUGAUCCAGCCAUACCGCGUGGGUGAAGAAGGCCUUCGGGUUGUAAAGCCCUUUUGUUGGGAAAGAAAAGCAGCAGGUUAAUACCCCGCUGUUCUGACGGUACCCAAAGAAUAAGCACCGGCUAACUUCGUG